Molecule: unclassified non-coding RNA, 155 nt
Filed under: soil metagenome
Description: partial internal transcribed spacer 1
Source: RNAcentral
UAUAAGUGUUUAUGGCACUGUUUAAAUCCAUAUCCAACCUUGUGUGCAAUGUCAGUCGGUUAUCUUUUCGUCAAGAAAAAAGGAUAGCGAGGCCAACAUCAACUUAUUCUAAUUGAACUUUGUCUGAAAACUAUUAUGAAUAACUAAUUCAAAUA